RNAcentral lists this ribosomal RNA (630 nucleotides) under uncultured bacterium. Its description in RNAcentral is "bacterial SSU rRNA". It matches the Rfam family "Bacterial small subunit ribosomal RNA", at positions 900 to 1533 of the family's 1533-position model. The record is from RNAcentral.
CUCAAAUGAAUUGACGGGGGCUCACACAAGCGGUGGAGGAUGUUGCUCAAUUCGAAGCAACGCGAAGAACCUUACCUGGGUUUGACAUGCAGGGAUUAACCCCAUGAAAGUGGGGGGAUUGCCUUCGGGUGUAACCUGUACAGGUGUUGCAUGGCUGUCGUCAGCUCGUGCCUUGAGGUGUUGGGUUAAGUCCCCUAACGAGCGAAACCCCUGUCGUUAGUUGCCAUCGGGUCAUGCCGGGCACUCUAGCGAGACUGCCGGUGUCAAACCGGAGGAAGGUGGGGACGACGUCAAGUCAUCAUGGCCCUUAUAUCCAGGGCGGCAAACGUCCUACAAUGGCCCGUACAAAGGGAAGCAAAGCCGCGAGGCGGAGCAAAUCCCAAAAAGCGGGCCCUAGUUCGGAUUGCAGGCUGCAAUUCGCCUGCAUGAAGCUGGAAUCGCUAGUAAUCGCGGAUCAGAACGCCGCGGUGAAUAUGUUCCUGAGCCUUGUACACACCGGCCGUCAAGCCACGAAAGUCGGAAGCACCCGAAGUCUCGAUCCAACCGCAAGGAGGAAGGCGCCGAAGGUGAGUUCGAUGAUUGGGACUAACUCGUAACAAGGUAGUCGUAGAAACUGCGGUGGAUCACUCC